RNAcentral lists this unclassified non-coding RNA (5404 nucleotides) under Hevea brasiliensis (rubber tree). The record is from RNAcentral. Lineage: Eukaryota; Viridiplantae; Streptophyta; Magnoliopsida; Malpighiales; Euphorbiaceae.
GAUACAGUGGAGCAAUGUAAAGCUCUCUUCCUAUCAAAUUCCUAAGGUUAUGGGCUAUUUUUGUGUUCAAUUGUAUUCCGUUCGUAUUUUAAACAUUUGAGAAUAAAGUAUCAAGUAGAAUGCCUGCUUGUGUAAUUUUUAUGAUCUAUUCAAACUUGAUGAAGAGAUGAAGACAUCCAUGUAAUUUUUGAACCCUAAUUCUUAUUAUAGGGGUUGAAGUCAUGUCAAUACGGAACUUCGCAUUCAAGUGAUUUGAAAUUUUACUUGGACCAUUAAACGCUCUCGUUUUGCUAUUUCAUUUCGUGUUACCUUCAGCCUUCAGGCUGUGGACCAAGGAGGGCUCGACAGAAAUUUGGUGGUGCCCCCCAAUACGCCCCUGUCCAAGGAGCAAGGAAUUAUCAUUAAGGGUAUGGUAUCGUCAAAUAAUUUUAUUUUUUUCUCGUGCAAAAAUUAUUUUCCGUUCCAAUUUCAGGUAACAAAAACCGAGCAUCGUUGCAUAUUUUAUUGCGCGCUUUUCGUCAAAUCUUGUAAUCGAUGAACAAUACUCUUUCCGUUUGUAUCCAUUUUUCUUUUCUAACAUAGGGCAAUCAACUUAAUUCUCAUCUCCUGUUUGUCCCCAUCGACCUAGGAUGUACUUAUUACAAUGAAGUCCUACAAUAUGGUCAGCAUCAUCUACCACACAAAUUCAUAAUAUAAUGUUUUUCAGGUUCAUAAGGUGAGUCUAUCUCACAUGUAAAGCAUAUCAGGAGUUGGAAGAAAGAGAAAUUGAAAAUAAAAUAUUGUUAGAAAACAGUAAGAUUCUCGGGUUCCAGUUCUUUCCAGUAUCUUCUCACUAAUGAGAGUCCACAACACUACUAGAACGCAAAAAUAGAACAGAAAUGCCAUUUUUCUCAUACAAGGUCCCAGAAAAUUUUUUUAGACAAAAAGAUUCGAAUGAUGAUGAGCUUGGUAUUGUCUCUUCUUUCAGUAUAUUCUGUACAAUUAUGCCAAUGGAACAUGUAAUUGCGCUAUACAUUUUCUAUUAUUAUUUGGUUUCCUUUUUUCCUUGGUUUUCUUCUUUGUAUAACGGAUUUAGGCAGGUUUCAAAUUGCUAAUGUUCCUUCGGUGACUUGGUUUUCAUCUGAAGAGUCGGAAAGCUGAGUUUUGGGUUUAUUCAUCAUACGAGAAAACCCAUAACCAAGAGAACUUCCGCUAGCUUGGCAUAGCUCAGUAAGCUCCGACAAGUGGCGUGACCUAAACUCAUUUAUAGUUGAUGUGAUCUCUGACAUGGGCAGUUUAGCCUGUGCAAGAACAGCAGCUGCCAACUGUAGACUUGGUUCUAGUGACUCAGGGACAACCUGUAAAUAUUUAGUUUCAACAUAUCACAAAAUUGCCAAGUAACUUGAUGCAUUAGAUAAAUGAAGGAUAAAAUAAAACCUGAAAAACUUAUUCCAAUUUGGAAAUCAUUUUUGGAGUUUGGAGACUUUGGACUCGCAAAUUUCACAUUAAUAAUGCCAUAUUGUUAUAGUAUCAUUAUGGAACAGCCGUUCCCUAACCCUGGCAAAGCAGAUAGCCUCGUGCACUGGAGAUGUCCUUUAAUGCAAUAAUGACAGCUCGGUACAACAGAAUCCCUCAUAAAAGAAACAAAACUUCAUAAAAGAGUUAUUAGAAUAUUACCGCUGUAGCCCCCGCCUUUUCCAAAUUAAGGCCAUGAUCAACAUCAUGAGCACGGACAAAUGUCUUUACAUUGGGAAAAUACUUGCUCAGCGCCCAAACAGUUCUAUAAUUUGCACCAGGUGUAUCCAAAGUUAUUGCCGCAGCACAAGCUCUUUCAGCACCAACUUUAUGGAGGACCUCUCGACUACCAGCAUCUCCAAAAUACACAGGAAGGUCAAGGGCACGCCCAACUGCCACUCUAUCACUCCUCACAUCAAGAGCAACAAAGGGAAUUAACCGCUCUGAAAGAAGUUGUGCAAUAAUCUGGCCAACACGUCCAAACCCACAGAUAAUAAUGUGAUCCUGCAAAUCAUCUGUCUCACUCUCAACCGGUAAAAGACUUCGAACAUCAUGCUGCUCAAAACGUGAGGCAAUUAACUGACCACCAGCAGCUAGCCAUGGUGUAAUAGCCAUUGAAAGUCCCACCACAAGAAAUAACAAAGAUGAUAGCUGGGGAGACAUUAUACCCUGAUUAACAGCUUCACCAAAAGCCACAAAUGCAAACUCUCCACCCGGCGCAAGAAGAAGACCAACCCUUAUUGCAGAUAUGAUUGAAAUACCAAAAAGUCUACCAACCAAAGCAACUAACAAAGUCUUGCCACCAAUUAAGAGUCCCAAUGUCCCCAUAAUGACCGGAAAAUUUGAAACAAGAAGCUUUGGAUCAAUGGACAUUCCAACCGUCAUGAAGAAGAGACCCAAUAGAAGGCCACGAUAUGGAGCAAUAUCCGAUUCAACCUGCAAGGAAAAUUCAGUUUCUGCAAGGAGCAAACCAGCCAGAAAUGCUCCCAGGGCCAUGGAAAGUCCAGCCCUGGCUGUAAGGAGACUAGUCCCCAGAAUAACAAGAAGUGUAUUCGCUGAGAAUAUCUCUGCAUUUUGAUUUUCUGCAAUUUGUUUAUAAAUUGGCCGAAGCAGCAAGCGUCCACCAGCAAUUAUAGCAGUAAUGGCAAGCGCUGCCUUAACAGCAGCCAGCCCAAGAGCUUCAGCAAUGGCUUGAAAACCAACCCCGCCUUUGGACGAAUUAGGUGAAAUAAGAGGUAUGAGUAUUAGCAACACCACAACAGCCAAAUCCUGGAAUAGUAAGACAGAGAAUGUAGCACGCCCAUGGCGCGAUGUGCUCUCACCUCGCUCCUGUAACACCUGCAGGACAACAGCAGUGGAAGACAAAGCAAGCCCAUUCCCGAUGACUAUGGCAGCAGGACCAGGCAGCCGAGAUACAUAAUGAGAGGCCAAGCCAACAACCACCGCUGUCACCAAGACCUGAGCAGAACCUAAUCCAAAAACAUAUUUCUUCAUGGAACUAAGCCUUUCAACAGAAAGCUCCAGGCCAAUAUUAAAUAACAAGAAAACAACUCCAAAUUCAGCAAUUGCCUUUGUACCAUGCACAUGACGAAUAAUAGAGAGACCAUAAGGGCCAAUCAAGAUGCCAGCAGCCAAGUAUCCGAGAACAGGACUACCUCCAGGAAUCUUCUGAAACAUGGGCACAAAUAUAACACUAGCAAGCAGUAACCACAGCACAUCAAAGAGAGACGCCUCUUCCUCAUUCAUCUCUUGAUGAGGAAGCAUUGCAAGUAGCUUUUUUAUUCUCUUUGGAAAUUUCUGUAUGUGUCGAAUUAGAGGCUUGGCAUUUGAGGAAACUUCUUCAAUACUAGUGGUGACAAUGUCCGUUUGUUGAAGCAUCUGUGUGCUCCUUUCUACACGAUUUGAGUAAAACGCAACCCCUGCACCAAACAAUAAUAAUCCAAGAACCAGCUUAGGCAAUUGAUUCCUUGCUGACUCGAUGAGACCUUGGAAAACUGAUGCUGGUGUGAACUCAGUCCCAUCUACAAUGAAAGAGAAGAAAGAUGCAGAAAAGAACCGUGAAGAUUUCUUCAAAAAUGCCUUUGGAGUGUUAAGAGGUGAAGGUGAAAUCUCUCUGGUUAAAUCCUUCUGCAUUUCCGGCUUUUUUGUUUGAACUCCACUCUUUGACUUUUCUGCUUCUAUUUCAGUUUCCCUAGGCAAUUCUAAAUGGAGUUUUCCAUUCUCUUGUUCACUAGAAUCAUCAGAUUGAUAUAACUCUUUAACGUUGCUGGCUUUAUCAGAUAGUCUAUCUACUGUUGGCUCACCAACUAAAGCAUCACCAUCGAUGGGCACAUCGCUUUCUUUUUCAUCAUCAGAAACCCUUCUUUCACUCACCUUCUCCUCCUCAACAACAGCCUCAUCACCAGAUACAUGCCCUUGGGUUGUUUCCAGGGUAUCAACGAAAGAACUAGAGAGAAACUUCUCUGCCCUCUGUAAUGCAAUCUCUGCAUCAUUCACCCGUUGAGCAGCCUCAAGUUCAAAAGCAACAGCUUGCUCAGCCAAAAGCAUUACAUUUGCAACAUCCUCUUCCACUUUCAAAGCAUUCAUCUGAGCUUUCUCAGCAAUCUCAUUCAAUCUGUCCACUUCCUUCUGCAAUUCUUCCUUUCUAUGUUGUAAAUUCCUUAACUCUGCCUCACAACUUGCCAAAUUCAUUUGACAUUCACUAAUAUCAUUUGGAGCAGCCAAAAGUGCAUUGCCCUCUUCCCCAACAUCCUUUUCCACUUCACCCUCUCCAGAACCAGCUGGUGCAUCAGCCUCUCCUUUUGCAAACUCAAUCGAUUCUACUGCCACCUUAAGCCUGGCCUCAGCCAGAGAAAGGGCCAUUGUUGCAUUUUGAACAGCUUCUUUGGCAACAGCCUCCUCAUUAACAAUCCCUUGAAUCAAAUCAAGAGUUGAGUUGACAUCAUUCCAAGCAUUCGCUGCCUCAUCCUUCAAGGCUAUUGCAGCUUCUGAAAUUCUUUGAGCCUUUUCCUCAAACAUUGUACUAUUAAGCCGUGCAACUUCCAAUUCUGUCAUUGCCUUCUGUAACAAUUCCCUCAAUUCAUCCAAACUAGGCGCCUCUGCCUCCACUUCUUCUUUCUGCUCUCCUCCUUUGUCUCCCAAACCACUCAACUCCCCACCAUCAUCAGACCCCACUAUUGAGCUCUCAGCACUACUCUCAACUAAUUCUACACUUCGAUCAUUCCCAUCAAUGUAUGCUAAGGAAUCAUUACCUUGACACCGUGACCUAAAUCCCCUUGACACCUUAAAAACAUCAGCAAAACUACAGAACAAUGAGUUACUCGGAUAUGCACUUGAUAAAUGACUAUGAAAUACUCCGCUGAAUACCAAACUCGAAUUCAAACCACCGCUAUGUGCAAAACUUUUCCUUAUUUUCUUUGAGGACCUAUCUUUUAAAAUAAUACUCGGAUCAAGAACGUUACAACGAAAACUUCCAUAUCUCAACCUCGAAUGUAACCGAUUUGAUAACCUAUAACCUAUGCCUUCACUGCGGUGAAAGACAUUAGGUUGCCGGAUACCACAAGCGAAAUCCAUACCUAUGAGACAAUCAAUGCAAAGGAGUAUCUAUAGAAACACAGGAGCAAACAAUCCACACACACUCAUCGGCAUUUAAUCAAACACCGAUCAAGAGGAGCAAAGUUAGAGAUAAAGCUCAGAGCAAAAUCAAUGGCGGAGUUUAAGAAGAGAGUAAGGGCAGAAAUGACGCAACUGAUAACAAAUCAAUGAUCAGCGUACGCCUUUUAUAAUAUUUGUUCUGUUUUAAUAUUGAAAUGAAACAGAGAGGCAAGCGCCCAAGUGGAAUAAAGAAGAGACAGCAAUGAUAUAAAUCUAUAUUUCGUUUCCUUUUCUCUCACUCUGUUUGGAAAGUGAG